UCCGGGAUCGUCCAGUGGCAGGACGGUGGUCUUUGACACCACAGACGGAACGGGUUCGAUUCCCCCUCCCGGAGCCA
This 77-nucleotide transfer RNA is filed under the name Occallatibacter sp. Its description in RNAcentral is "tRNA-Gln". It matches the Rfam family "tRNA". Rfam says of the family: Transfer RNA (tRNA) molecules are approximately 80 nucleotides in length. The record is from RNAcentral. Lineage: Bacteria; Pseudomonadati; Acidobacteriota; Terriglobia; Terriglobales; Acidobacteriaceae.